Molecule: ribosomal RNA, 256 nt
Filed under: uncultured bacterium
Lineage: Bacteria
Description: partial 16S ribosomal RNA
Rfam family: Bacterial small subunit ribosomal RNA
Source: RNAcentral
GACGUAGGUGGCGAACGUUAUCCGGAAUUAUUGGGCGUAAAGGGUGCGUAGAUGGCCUGAUAAGUUAGCAGUGGGAAAUCGAGGCUCAACCUCGUGGAAGCUGGUAAUACUGUCAGGCUCGAGUGCAGGAGAGGUUAACGGAACUCCAUGUGGAGCGGUAAAAUGUGUAGAUAUAUGGAAGAACACCAAUAACGGCGAAGGCAGUUAACUAUUCUGUUACUGACAUUGAGGCAUGAAAGCGUGGGGAGCAAAACGG